Rattus norvegicus (Norway rat) is the source of this 237-nucleotide non-coding RNA. Lineage: Eukaryota; Metazoa; Chordata; Mammalia; Rodentia; Muridae. The record is from RefSeq and is a predicted model, not a curated record.
UACACAAAUCACUGUUUACCACUACUCUGUGUCAGUUUCCUCAGCAUUGGCUAGUGAAGUAAAUUUGCUGUUGAAACUGCUGUAUGACAACCUCGAUCAGAAGUUCAAGGUCCUCCUCAGCUACAAAGAAAGUCUGAAGACAACCUGGGCUAUUAUAGAAGAUCCUCCCCCUAUUCUCACUGUAUCUAUAAUAGACUAAUUCAUUCAUUAUCAUAAUAAAGUACUGUGAAGUUUUUG